AGCGAACGCUGGCGGCAGGCCUAACACAUGCAAGUCGAACGAACCUUUCGGGGUUAGUGGCGGACGGGUGAGUAACACGUGGGAACGUGCCUUUAGGUUCGGAAUAACUCAGGGAAACUUGUGCUAAUACCGAAUGUGCCCUUCGGGGGAAAGAUUUAUCGCCUUUAGAGCGGCCCGCGUCUAAUUAGCUAGUUGGUUGAGGUAAUGGCUCACCAAGGCGACGAUCAGUAGCUGGUCUGAGAGGAUGAUCAGCCACAUUGGGACUGAGACACGGCCCAAACUCCUACGGGAGGCAGCAGUGGGGAAUCUUGCGCAAUGGGCGAAAGCCUGACGCAGCCAUGCCGCGUGAAUGAUGAAGGUCUUAGGAUUGUAAAAUUCUUUCACCGGGGACGAUAAUGACGGUACCCGGAGAAGAAGCCCCGGCUAACUUCGUG
RNAcentral lists this ribosomal RNA (434 nucleotides) under uncultured bacterium. Its description in RNAcentral is "partial 16S ribosomal RNA". It matches the Rfam family "Bacterial small subunit ribosomal RNA", at positions 29 to 507 of the family's 1533-position model. The record is from RNAcentral.